CCUUUGUACUGCGGAGACAUUAC
RNAcentral lists this ribosomal RNA (23 nucleotides) under Botryosphaeria dothidea. RNAcentral's name for it is "partial 18S ribosomal RNA". Lineage: Eukaryota; Fungi; Ascomycota; Dothideomycetes; Botryosphaeriales; Botryosphaeriaceae. The record is from RNAcentral.